CUUAGUUCUCCUUCUCUCAGCCUCACAAGCAUGUGUUCGUCUAAGUCCCAGCUUAGCUCCACGCCUUCUCCAUCACACCACACCGCUAACUAGAUGCCUCCGCUCCCUCUCAUCCGUUGCCCAGAUUGCAAUGCACGCUACAUGAUGUGGUUCGUCUCGGGAAUGGAAGAAAACCCAGGCAGGCAUUUCUACAAGUGCGAAAGGCAUGGAUUUUUUGAUGUGCGAGAAGAAGUACACAGUACUUCAGCUCACGGUGGGGAUACAUGAUUUCACAUGCAUCAGCCUAUCGCCACGUAUCACUGCUUGAACAGAAUCAAGCAUGGCUGAAGAACAUUUAAAUGUUGGGCGUCCUGAAUUUGCUGCUCCUGGUCAUGAUCUUCAUGCACAAGCUCUGAAGCUCCCCCCGCCCCCCUUGCGAAGGAUUUGCUCUAGAUCUCCUGUGUACCACGUGCAAUGGAUUUGCUCUAGUCCCCAUUUGUACUUCGUGCGAUUGAUUUGCUCUAGUUCCCUAUGUAUUUAUCCUUUUCGGUGUGCCAGUACAUAUUGCAUCCUAUGUACGCAGCAGACUGGCCUAUCAAUAAUACUCCUACAACGGUGGUGUGCAUGGACCAUUGAAUCCGGUUUGAA
Molecule: non-coding RNA, 627 nt
Organism: Triticum urartu
Lineage: Eukaryota; Viridiplantae; Streptophyta; Magnoliopsida; Poales; Poaceae
Source: RefSeq, a predicted model, not a curated record